RNAcentral lists this ribosomal RNA (871 nucleotides) under Vagococcus fluvialis. RNAcentral's name for it is "bacterial SSU rRNA". It matches the Rfam family "Bacterial small subunit ribosomal RNA", at positions 66 to 939 of the family's 1533-position model. The record is from RNAcentral. Lineage: Bacteria; Bacillati; Bacillota; Bacilli; Lactobacillales; Enterococcaceae.
ACGGGAGAUUGAUACACCGAAUCGAGAGUGGCGGACGGAUGAGUAACACGUGCACAACCUGCCCAACAGAGGGGGAUAACACUUGGAAACAGGUGCUAAUACCGCAUAAUUUGUUUUCCCGCAUGGGAGAAUAAUAAAAGACGCUUCGGUGUCACUGUUGGAUGGGCCCGCGCUGCAUUAGUUAGUUGGUGGGGUAAUGGCCUACCAAGACCGUGAUGCAUAGCCGACCUGAGAGGGUGAUCGGCCACACUGGGACUGAGACACGGCCCAGACUCCUACGGGAGGCAGCAGUAGGGAAUCUUCGGCAAUGGACGAAAGUCUGACCGAGCAACGCCGCGUGAGUGAAGAAGGUUUUCGGAUCGUAAAACUCUGUUGUUAGAGAAGAACAAGUGGGAGAGUAACUGUUCCCACCUUGACGGUAUCUAACCAGAAAGCCACGGCUAACUACGUGCCAGCAGCCGCGGUAAUACGUAGGUGGCAAGCGUUGUCCGGAUUUAUUGGGCGUAAAGCGAGCGCAGGCGGUUUCUUAAGUCUGAUGUGAAAGCCCUCGGCUCAACCGAGGAAGGUCAUUGGAAACUGGGGAACUUGAAUGCAGAAGAGGAGAGUGGAAUUCCAUGUGUAGCGGUGAAAUGCGUAGAUAUAUGGAGGAACACCAGUGGCGAAGGCGACUCUCUGGUCUGUAAUUGACGCUGAGGCUCGAAAGCGUGGGGAGCAAACAGGAUUAGAUACCCUGGUAGUCACGUCGUAAACGAUGAGUGCUAGCUGUGAGGGUUUCAGCCCUUCAGUGCUGCAGUAACGCAUUAGCACUCGCUGAGAGUACGACGCAAGCUGAAACUCAAAGACUGACGGGGCCGCCACAAGCGUUGGAGCA